CCCAGCACACCAGAAAGACCUCCCGGACAGACUGGAACCAACUGCCGGACACGCCGGAACCACAUCCCGGACAGACCGGAAUCACCUGGCAAACCCGCCUGAACCACCUGCCGAGCAUGACGGAACCACCUGCUCGACUCACCGGAACCACCUUCCGGACACGCCAAAAUCACUGGCCAGCUACGCCACAACCACUUGGCGGACUCUCCGGAAUCACCUGCCUGGCAUGCCGGAACCACCUCUCAGACGUGCCAGAACCACAUGACAGACACCCCGGAACCACCUCCCAGACAGACUGGAAAAACCUGCCAGACACGCAUGAACCACAAGCCGAGCACGCCGGGAACCACCUGCUUGACUCGCAGGAACCACCUGCCGAACAUGCCAAAAUCACCUUCCAGCUAGGCCAGAACCACUUGGCGGACACUCCGGAGAUAACCAGCCGGGCAUGCCGAAACCACCUCUCAACUGUGCCAGGACCACCUGUCAGACAAGCUGGAACGUCCGCCAGACAUGCCUGAACCACCUGCCGGACACGCCAAAAUCACCUGCCGACUACGCCAGAACCACUUGAGAGACACUAUGUAAUCAUCGGCCGGGCAUGCCGGAACCACCUCUCAGAGGUGCCAGAACCACGUGCCGGACACACCAGAACCACCUGCCGAGCACGCCAGAACCACAUGCUCGACUUGCCGGAACCAGCUGCCAGACAUGCCAAAAUCACCUGCCGGCUACGCCAGAACCACUUGGUGGACUCUCCAGAAUCACCUGACGGGCAUGCCGGAACCACCUCUCAGACGUGCCAGAAGCAGGUGCCGGACACGCCGGAACCACCUCCAGGACAGACCGGAACCACCUGCCAGACCUGACUGAACCACCUGCAGAGCACACCGGAACCACCUUCUCCACUCGCCAGAAUGACAGGUUCUUCAGAUGUGGUUCAAGGGAGUCUCCAUGUGGUUCCUGCAUGGCUCACAAAUGGUUCGGGUGUAAUUCUGGAGUGGAUCUCACACGACUCGUCUGGGUCACAUAUGGUUGAGGGUAUUCUUACACAUGGUUCAGGCGGAGAUCAGCCAUGGCUCACACGUGACACAGACGUGCCACGGAACUGGCUGCCUUGUGGCUGACACAUGAUACAGGCUUUGGUCACGCAUGGCUCACACAUGGUUCAGGUGUGGCUCAUGCAUGUCUGUGGUGUUAGGCAGGCGUGGCUCACAUGUGUUUUUGGCAUUGGUGGCACGUGAUUCAGGCAUGGCAGGCAAGUUGUGCCAGUGUGGCUGACACGUGCUUCAAGUGAGGCUGACCUGUGGUUCAAAUGUGUCUGGCACUUGGUUCAGGCCUGGCUGGCAUGUGACUGGGCGUGGCUGAGCCUUGACACAGGCGUGGUUCACACGUUGUUCAGGCGUGGCUGACACAUGAGUCAGGAGAGGUGGAAACGUGACACAGGUGUGCCUGACACGUCACGCAGGUGUUGUUCACACAUGGUUCAUGCAUGGCCUUCGUGUGGUUCACGAUGGCUGGUGCAUGGUUCACGCAUGGGUGGCAGGUGGUUCAGGCGUGGCUGAAAUGUGACUCCAGCAUGUGCGAAACAUGACUCUGGUGUGGCUGAAACAUGUGUCAGGCAUGGCUGACACGUGACUCAGGCAUUCAUCGCCCUGUAACCAUGUGUGACGGAAAUGUGAUCACACAGGUGUCACGUGCCGUACAUGGGUGGCGCCCACGUGACUACAGGUUGCUGAAACAUGUCUCCCACAUACUGAGUCAUGGCUGCCACGUGGCUCACGCAGGGCACAGCUGUGUUUCAUGUGUGGCACCCCUGUGGUUCAUGCUUAUUUCAAGCAUGGAACAUGUGUGUUUCACAGGUUCUUCAGAUGGGGUUCAAGGGUGAUUCCAAUGUGGUUCCUGCAUGGCUCACACAUGGUUCAGGUGUAAUACAGGCGUGUAUCUCACAGGAGUCGUGUGGGUCACAUAUGGAUGAGGACACUCUCACAUGUGCUUCAGGGAUAGUUCAACCAUGGCUCACAUGUAACGCAGACGUGCCAAAGAACUGGCUCCCAUGUGGCUGACACAUGAUACAGGCUUUGGUCACGCAUGGCUCACACAUGGUUCAGGUGUGGCUCAUGCAUGUCUGUGGUGUUGGUCAUGCAUGGCUCACAUGUGUUUUUGGCAUGGUUGGCACGUGGUUCAGGCAUGGCAGGCAAGUUGUGCCAGUUUGGCUACACGUGCUUCAAUUGAGUCUGACCUGUGCUUCAAGUGUGACUGGCACUUUGUUCAGGCCUGGCUGGCACGUGACUUGGCGCGGCUGAGCCUUGACACACGUGUGGUUCACACGUUGUUCCAGUGUGGCAGACACAUGACUCAGGUGAGGUGGAAAUGUGACACAGGCAUGCCUGACACGUCACGCAGGUGUGGUUCACACAUGGUUCAUGCAUGGCCUUCAUGUGGUUCAGGGUGUCUGGUGCAUGGUGUAUGCAUUGAUGGCAGGUGGUUCAGGUGUGGCUGAAAUGUGACUCCGGCAUGUGUGAAACAGGACUCCAGUGUGGCUGACACAUGACUGAGGGAUUCAUCACCAGUAUCCAUGUGUGACGGAAAUGUGAUCAUGCAGGAGUCACGUGCCGUACAUGGGUGGCAGCCACGUGACUAAAGGUUGCUGAAACGUGGCUCCUACAUAC
RNAcentral lists this long non-coding RNA (2672 nucleotides) under Equus caballus (horse). RNAcentral's name for it is "lncRNA (ENSECAG00000047021.1)". The record is from RNAcentral. Lineage: Eukaryota; Metazoa; Chordata; Mammalia; Perissodactyla; Equidae.